UUGACUGAAACAAAACAAAACAAAAGGUCCACUGGAUGUCUGCCUCCUUGGGGGGUGAGCCAGACAGACUGACAAACAAACAGACCCAACUGUGUUUGGGGGAGGGUUUCUCCUCCCGUUUUGCCCGGCAGCAGCAGCAUGGACGUGUUGGCUAGUUAUAGUAUAUUCCAGGAGCUACAACUUGUCCACGACACCGGCUACUUCUCAGCUUUGCCAUCCCUGGAGGAGACCUGGCAGCAGACAUGCCUUGAAUUGGAACGCUACCUGCAGACAGAGCCUAGGAGGAUCUCGGAGACCUUUGGUGAGGACUUGGACUGUUUCCUCCGUGCUUCUCCUCCCCCGUGCAUUGAGGAAAGUUUCCGGCGCUUAGACCCCCUGCUGCUCCCUGUGGAAGCGACCAUCUGUGAGAAGAGUUCGGCAGUGGACAUUUUGCUCUCUCGGGACAAGUUGCUAUCUGAGACCUGCCUCAGCCUCCAGCCAACCAGCUCUUCUCUAGACAGCUACACAGCCGUCAACCAGGCCCAGCUCAACGCAGUGACCUCAUUAACGCCCCCCUCGUCCCCUGAGCUCAGCCGCCAUCUGGUCAAAACCUCACAGACUCUCUCAGCCGUGGAUGGCACAGUGACGUUGAAACUGGUGGCCAAGAAGGCUGCACUCAGCUCCGUGAAGGUGGGAGGGGUGGCAACAGCAGCGGCAGCCGUGGCGGCAGCUGGGACAGUUAAGAGUGGACAGAGCGACAGUGAGCAAGGAGGUGUGGGGGCUGAGGCGUGCCCCGAAAACAAGAAGAGGGUUCACCGCUGUCAGUUUAACGGGUGCCGGAAAGUUUAUACAAAAAGCUCCCACUUAAAGGCCCACCAGAGGACUCACACAGGUAGUGAGAAGCCUUAUAAGUGCUCAUGGGAAGGGUGUGAGUGGCGUUUUGCACGAAGCGAUGAGCUCACAAGGCACUACAGGAAACACACAGGUGCAAAGCCCUUUAAAUGCAACCACUGCGACAGGUGUUUUUCCAGGUCUGACCAUCUUGCCCUCCAUAUGAAGAGACAUAUCUAAAAAACCUAAAGGCCACAGUUGCCAUGGCACCGGCCGUUGUCUGAAGGAAAUGCCAUGAGGCAGGGGGCUGGACUUCAGGCGGGGACCCAUUGCCUCGCAGAAGAAAGUUCUCACUUAUUAAACCUCUGUGUACACACACGCACAGACACACACAGACGCACACACGCACUCACACAUAGACACACACACACGCGCACACACACACUGUCAUGCACUCAGCUAUAUUUAAAAUAUAUACGUCUAUUCUUUAUGCCUUGCCCUAGCCAGAUGGUAGAAGACGAAGAAGAAGGAAACCAGGUGAACUCAGCAAGGCAGUCUGGCUGCUUACUUCAGCACUAUUGGAAUUAUUUCCCGCUGUUGCCAAUGGAAAUCAAAGAAAAUGGAUGUGACGUCUCUGCAGGAGGACGGCAGCCCACCAUGACUUGUGACCUAGAGCACCUGGGAUCAACAGAGGCCUCACUCUUACUCUGCAAGCUGACGCCGAGGGGGUUACAUGCCUCACUUUCCAUCCCACACACACAAUCCAAUAUCGGCCUCCAUCUACCCGCAUUCUUAGCUAGCUGGCACUGGCCUCAACUCCAAAGACUGCCUUUAGGACCAUUAAAUGGCCUAUGCAAGCAAGCGGGGUGGUUUUAGGGCAGAUUGUAUAUUUUGUAUAUUCUGGGACCAUCCCUUCAAGACACGUCUAAAAAAACAAAAAUGGCAUUUGGUCCACCCAUGGUUGCUGCUCCUUCAUACCAGCUGGCUCCCCUCCUGCCCUCCUUGACUGUUUGACUCAUUGACUGUUAAAAUGCCACCCCAUACCUAUUUGGGAUGCAAAAGUGAAGUCUUUGAAAGGAAAUAAUAAUGUAAGAAACACAGAUACAUUUAUGACAGCAACCUUCAAGAUCCUUGGCAUUUGGUUUCUCAGCUUUCUGCAAACUUUGAUUUCACUGAAAUGUUGAAACUACUCGUCUGAGGGCAAAGGAGCCUCCUUAUCACAAAUGCUGUAGCUGCCAAUUGGACACUUGGGGCAUUCUGAGGUCUGGCCCUUAAAGUUUUCCUUCCCUUUUUCCUUUUUUCAACUUAGACCAAAAAAAAAGAAAAAAAAAAAAAAAAAGAAAAAUGAAACAAACAAAAAAAAACAGCAAAAAAAGAAAAACCACCCUAAACACACAUACACACAAAAUCUGCCCAUUUGCCAGAGGCAAUUAUGUAUAUGUUAGUAGGAGGGUAUUUUAAAAAAUCAGUUUUAUUCCAAAGAUUUAAAACUAGACAUGACUUAGAAACCAUUUCUGGAGCACUGCUUGCUGACAAUCUCAUAGUUCUCGACUGCAUUCGAGUGCAUUUGUAGCCAGUCCAUCAGGGCGGACCAUGGGAUUACAUUUGAAUGUGUGGUGCAUCCUUUCUCGAUGAAGGAUGUGUGAGGGACCUUGACCCUCAGCUGUAUUAGACUGUAGCGCCUCCAGUCAGUGCACUAGAUGAAACUUUAGACACCCCAGGUUUUGUUGGUUCGUUGAUUUCCCUUUCUAGAGCAGCCUCCAGCAUGACUGCACGCACACACCAGUGAUGGCGUUAGCCAUGGCUGCCACGAUUUACAAACGUUCUCUCCCCGGCUGGAGUUGCUCUUGCCUCUCGAAAUGCUAUUAUUAUUAAGGGUUUAUAAUACUUAAUUUAAUUUUUGAACUGACCAAUGCAAGGCUGUAUUAAAAAGAAAGUUUAAAAAAAAUGCAAAAGAGUAAUCAUUGCUUGCUCACUCCCCGUUGUCACCUGUGGUCUUGAAAAGAUCUCAUUUGAACGUGUCAGAACAAAGGGCAUUUGGUCUCCAUCAGCGUCUGAAAUGCUCGGCAGUUUCUCUCUCUUUUGUAUCAGUGAGGUCCUUUGUAAUCUGCUCCUGACCCUUCUCUGAGCAGGCUGCACUGAACCUCGAUGGUGGGGCUGGCUUGCUUGCUUCAGGUAUUUGUUGACUGUGAGAAUUGGCCUGAGAAUUUGGUGGGCGCUAAGUGUAUGGCUUUGAAACUGUUCUUCUCUAGCCCGAUUGACACCUCUGAAAGAUAACCAGCCCUGUCCGUGGUGGGUGGGGUGGGGGGCAGUAGCCCCAAUCAUUUUGGAAAUGGAUUUGUGAUCAAGUGUCCAUCAUCUCUGAAAUGGCAGAGAUGGUUGGAAAGAGCCUGCUGGCGUGAACAGGCUUUCCCAAGAAAUAACCUGAAGCUAGUUUGCUUCCGAGAGGACAGGUUAUUUAGAACAGUGCUUUAAUGGACCUUUGAAAUACAGUAAACCGCUUUCUCGUUUAAAUUGUUACCUCCCAACAUUCCAGGGGAUCUCAAAUUUGAAAGGAAAAACCUGGCAUGGUGUUUCUUGUGGUUGUCCUCUCAAGCUCGGUUUAUCCAGGGUUCAGAGUUUGACGUAUAGCAAAAGAGUGUUUCGAAGCCAUUGACGGUUUUCUUUAUUUCAGUUUGUGCUUCUUUCUCCUACCACACGGCUGUAAGUCAAAGAUGUGGAAACCUGAAAUUAUAAUGCUGCUCCUGGCUACUGGCCUCCUGCCCCAUUGAUGGUUCAUUGCCCAGCUUAAUGCCUGGUGGUGAUGAAUAUUAUGUCCAGAAAAAGAGAUGUUUGGAUUCCAUGACAGAGCUGCAUUUUAUAAAAAUAUCGGAGACCCCCAAAAUGAACUUCAUGCUGACCAUUUCCUUCUCCUCUCUGUGCUCUCCCUUGCAAAGCCCUUCAAGUAUCCCCUCCCCUCCCCUCCUGCACCUCUUGUGCCCUUUUUACAUCUUUGAUAGCCUGAUGAUAACAGGGUAAAAAAAAGACAGCCAACCUCACGCAUGAUUAGCAGAACUGAUUCCUAUGUUUUAAAAACUCUUCUUUGAAACUAGAAGCCAGAGAAGAUUUUUU
Physeter macrocephalus (sperm whale) is the source of this 3921-nucleotide RNA transcript. It is a transcript of the gene named KLF transcription factor 7, with no coding region annotated. The record is from RefSeq and is a predicted model, not a curated record. NCBI's taxonomy places the organism in Eukaryota, Metazoa, Chordata, Mammalia, Artiodactyla, Physeteridae. The transcript has 5 exons.